Molecule: long non-coding RNA, 11251 nt
Filed under: Medicago truncatula (barrel medic)
Lineage: Eukaryota; Viridiplantae; Streptophyta; Magnoliopsida; Fabales; Fabaceae
Description: long non-coding RNA (MTRU_LNC004163)
Source: RNAcentral
AAAAAAUUCAGCAUAUGACACAUCCAAUAGGAUCUUGUUCCACUCUUGAAACAGAAGAAUAUUGAAUAUAUUGUGGUUGUUGCAUGUAAUAAUAAUGAGGAUAGGCUUCAAGUAAUUGAAUUUGGUCCUUCUUCACAUCAGGCUUAGGUUCUUCUUUCUUCUUUUCAUCUUUUGCAGGUCCAACAGAAACUAUUUCAGCAUGACACCACUUCCUAAGUUUGCUUAGUACAUGUACUGGAUCUGUGUCUCCAGUUAAGGUUAAUUUCUUGUCUUUCAUGUCCACAGAAACUGAUUCUACCCCUGCAAAUAAUAUAGCAAUACGAUUUUAGGAAGAAAAAAAUUAAAGGUAAUCCAAUGUUAUAUUAUGAAAAAAAUUUAAGGUUAAUUUCUUGUCUUUCAUGUCCACAGAAACUGAUUCUACCCCUGCAAAUAAUAUAGCAAUACGAUUUUAGGAAGAAAAAAAUUAAAGGUAAUCCAAUGUUAUAUUAUGAAAAAAAUUUAAGGUUAAUUUCUUGUCUUUCAUGUCCACAAAAUUUUCCCUCUAGAUUAAAUAAAGUGAAGGCAAAUAAUGCAUGAGUAAAAUAUAUUUACGUUAUAUGUACAUAUCAAAUAAAUUAUCUAUUUAAUAUUUAUUUUCUCAAUAUUGAAACUAGACAUGUACAUUGACAUUACCUGAAAGGCCAGAGACUGUCUUCAUAGCUUUUUGCUUGGUUCUGUCAUCAUGUAUAUCCACCUUCAAUACUAGUUUCUGUAACAAAACAGAACAAAAUAUCUUUAGAUUCAAUGCAAAGAAAAAAUUAAUAGUGAGAGAGAGAAUGGACAAGGAUCUAGUUCUUACCAUCAUUUUCAAUAAAGCUUUUUGAUAACCAAUAAAUCAGAAUUGUUGGUUAAAAUUUUAAAGAAGAGCUAAGGUAUUGGAGCUAUAGAAUUGUUGGUUAAAAUUAAUUGUGAAGUGAAGAUGAGAGGUUUGUACAAUGCAAUAUAUAGAUACUAACUAGUCAACUGAAGUCAAGAAAAGUAGUGUGGUCCACUUUAAUAAUUAAACGCGGUAAUAGUAUGGUGGAGGGUGUGGUUCUUUGUAUCUUCAUUAUGGCCUCACACAAUUCCUUCCAAGAAAGUGAGACAAUUAAUUUAUUUAUUUUUAAAUAAAUGAUAUUAUUUAUUCAAAUUGAUAAAAUAUAUUUAUAUAAUACAAAUUGGAUAAAAACAAAAAUGAUAAAUUUGUGAAAAUACCCACAACAAUCAUGUCAAUAACAUAUAUUUACAAAGUAUAAAAGCCUACAAAUUUGACUAUAUUUAUAUUUAUGGAAUAUCUAUGUCUCUAGAUUUAUAACGUUGAUUAUGUCAAAGUCAUCGGUUGGAUUUGCACGGGAUCGAAACUGAUCUAACAAUCUAAAUCAAACAAACAUCUUAACAAGACGGCAAAGACAAACAACGGCGCACAAAUACGAGUAACAAAACAACGUUGCAGAAACAAGAUGAAAUCACAAAAGAAAUGUUAAAUACAAGAGAAUGAGAAAAGUGAUUUAGAGGCGUCAAAAAUUAACUUUGCAGGAAUCGAAGGCUUUCUCAUUUUAAAUUGAGGAUCUCGACUAGAUAACAAGCCUAGCGUGCAUGGUCAAUAGUUCGUCAUAGCAAGAUUGAAAGCAUAAUUGUGUCGAAGACAAGCAAUCACAGCGGGAAAGAUUCGAUUUCAAGCUCAAAGGUAGUUUCCUUAGUGGAAAUGUGGGGACAAUUGGUUGUCCAAGAUGGAGGAAGUUCUGAUCAUGUGAUUAGUCUCUUUCCAAUUAUUUUCCUUAUGUAUAAAUAAGAGUUUCCUAGUCGGAAAAUGGCUCGCACAUCAUUUAUAGAAAUUCUACAACACUCAAACUACCGACGCAUAUGAAAAAGAGUUAUACAGAAUGUAUGUAAACAGAUAUGUAGACCAUUUUACUUUUAAUGCAAUGCAGUUUACAUUUCCUUUAAGUUUACCUCCAUAUUUACUUUGCUUUUACUUGCAAUCUCAAAUCUGUCGAGAGACAGCGCCCUUUUUGACUCUAAAACAUGUCCUGCUCUCUAAGUAACCUGAGUGCAUUUCAUGGCCUUUUUCAAACCAUUUUCGAUCAAAACCUUUGCAAAACAUGUCCUGAGAUUUCUAGUUCGGUAUCGCUUGUAAUAAUCAGAACUAGCCCGUAAUUUGCCAAAAACACAGGUAAAUAAUGUGUUAGUCAAUGGUAGUCCUAAAAACGAUUUCCUGUUAGAGAGGUGCUUGUGUCAAGGGGAUCUCCUAUCUCCUUUUCUCUUUUUAUUGGCAGCGGAGGGUGUUGUGUAUUUCUAUUGGCUGCAUUGUUGCUAAAACAAAUAUCCUUGUUUGUGUUGUUGGAACCAAUGUUCCAACAUGUGUUUAGGCAUCUCUGUAAGAUGUCGGAUAUGAUGUUUUAACAUCGUAGCACGGUUCAGACUGCCUGGGUUCAUGCCUAUUUGUACGUGCGCCCUUUAUUGUUUAAGGAAACAAUAUUUCCUUAUCUUAUUGACCAAACAACGCACAUAUCUUUACAUACUCAGUUGUGGAAUAUUUCUAAAGUAAUAUUUAUAUUUUAGAAAAUAUUUGUUAUUGUUUUGGACGAUCCUAAUGAUGUUCCGACAUUUUAGGACUUUCCAUAUUUGUUUCUGAUUCUUGUUUUGUAGCCCAAGCUGCUUCAGCAUAUAAGGGAGAUUUCAAGAACUAAUGAUUCAUUCAAGCCGUCAUUCUAUAAAGUUUAGAUUUUUGGGGUUUUGAGUCUACAUGUGCUCUACUCUUGUAUCAUGUUGAUGCAAGUUUAGAACCUUUAUUGUGAGCCUUUCUUGUAUCGUCUGUGAUACAUGUUUAGGACUGUGUGUUGAGUUUGAUACUCUUGUGUACUACACCAAAGUUGUAAAACAAGGUGUGAGUUGUUUGUUUGAAGGUAACUUCAUCUUUGAGUUUGUGUUUAGGUCUGAUAGGUCACAGGGGUUGUGACUUACCAUAGGAUAGUGAGAUGGGAUCUCAGAUCUAGGAGUUCCUAGGUUGAAGUCUAUACAGGUAGGUCCUAGUACUUUAGUGUAAACGAGGAGUUUGCUGAGAGCUAUAGAAUAAGGACUACACUAGUGGAUUUUCUUCCUGGAUUGGUAACCCCCAGAGUAGGUGUGUUUGUCACCGAACUAGGUCAACAAACUUACUGUGUUCAUCUACUUUCUUGUUUUUUAUUUCUAUUUAUUUCGUGAUGUUGCAACAUUGAACGGUACAUUGUAAACGUUGAAACAUCUUACAUAACAUAUUAAAACAAGUGCGCUAGAAUUUCAAUUGGCAUCAGAGCAGGCACCCUGCCUGUUUUAGGGUGAGCUACAGGGAAGUUUAUUUCUAGCCUGAUGGACAAGGAAGGAGGAUUUCUGAAUAGACCACCUUUAUUGGAUGGAUCAAACUAUGACUAUUGGAAAUCACGUAUGAGUGCUUUUCAUAAGUCAAUUGAUAGCAAACAUGGAAAGCAGUUCUGAAAGGUUGGGAACAUCCUGUGACACUUGAUGCUGAUGACAACAGGACAUAUGUUUUGAAACCUGAUGAAGAAUGGAAUGUUGCUGAAGAUGAACUAGUUCUUGGAAAUUCCAAAUCAUUGAAUGCAUUGUUCAAUGGUGUAGACAAGAACAUGUUCAGCUUGAUCAGACAAUGUACUUUGGCUAAGGAUGCUUGCGAGAUUCUCAAAAUUGCACAUGAAGGUACUACCAAGGUAAAAAGUGAUAAAAUUCAACUUCUUACUACUAAAUUUGAGAAUCAGAAAAUGUUGAAUGAUGAGAGCAUUCAAGACUAUCACUUGAACAUUCUUCAAAGGUAAUAAUUUUGGUUCACAUCAUGUUCUUAAUUUAACAUGUUUUUAUUGCAACAUAAAAGGGCAUACUCCAAAUACUUGUUACAUAAGAAACUUUGGUGUUCCUUAUGGUGAAUUUAUUUGGGUAAAGAAAGGUAUUAACCCACAAGGACCCAAAUCACAAUGGGUACAUAGAAAGUACUAUUAAUUAUUUUGUAGGUAUUUGAAGACCAAGUGCUAAAAUUGUCAUAUUUAGAUUGGGUUCUUCAGGAUACAAGACCACAUGAUAUGGUUCAAUUUAUUUGCGAUUAUUUAAUGGUUGUGAUUUGAUGAAGAGACGAUCACUUGCAAGUUGCAUUCUUAUUUAUUCACAAUCAUGGUGAAAGACAUAAUAUUCAUUGUGAAGAAGAUAAGUUUUUCUACAUAAAAUUUAUUAUUUCCCUUAUAUUACGACCCUUUGUAAUUUACCCUUUUUCUUCUUUUUGAUGAUGUCAAAAGGGGGAGAAAGUGUAUGUUUGUGUUUUCUGCUUAAAUUGCUUCAGGUAUCCAAUUGCAAAACAAAGGGGGAGACAUAUAAGAUAGGGGGAUUUUCAUUGAGGAAACAUUGUCAAAAGGAUAUGGUUUGUCAUCAUCAAAAGGGGGAUAUUGUGAAGAAGAUUUCCUUCUUAGACUUGGUUUGGUUUUGAUGAUAACAAACUCAUAUCACAAAAGAAGAACACCUAUGGAUGCACAAGAUGAUGAUUAUGAUUAAAGAUUAGUGCCUAGACUUCUUGGUUAUACUCUUUGUAAGUAGCAUUGCUUCAUAAUAAUCUUUUUAACCUCUAUAAAUUCAAUUGAGAAUCAAAUCGAAAAAAUACAACAACUUUCAUUAUCUCAAUUGACAUUUUCAAUAUCACUCGUUUUUAAACUUUCAUUCAAAUUGUUUGGAAAACUUUGCAUACACUUUAACAUUUAUUCAAAAGUUUUCUGAGCACCAAGUCCAUUUGCUAGAGUGAUAUUGACAAAGAUAUACAGCCAUACAUUUGUUAUUUUUCAAUUACUUUGUUAUAAAGUUUUUUGUCAUUGUUGGUGAGAAUUAUUGUUUAAGAUAGUGGGGGUGCUAUUCAAAAGUGUUUGGUGUUUGUGUUGUAAUCAAGAGAGAGAAUUUCUUUCUUGUGUUUAUGUUAGAAAGAUUGUUAGGGGGUCUUAGGGUAAGAUUGCUUGUAACAAAGAUUCUAACAUAGUGAAAUCCUUCGUGGGGUGUGAAGGGAGUGGACUGACCCUAAGGUUUAGAGGGGAACCACUAUAAUUCUCUUGUGUCUUUUCUUCUUCCCUUACUCUUUUAUUUUUCCUUUCAUACCUUCAUAUUAAGUUUCUGGAAAAAUGAUCAAGAACGCUAAACUUGCAAAAAUUAACCAAUAUUCCUAGAAACCUAAUUCACCCCCCCCCCCCCCCCCCNNNNNNNNNNNNNNNNNNNNNNNNNNNNNNNNNNNNNNNNNNNNNNNNNNNNNNNNNNNNNNNNNNNNNNNNNNNNNNNNNNNNNNNNNNNNNNNNNNNNNNNNNNNNNNNNNNNNNNNNNNNNNNNNNNNNNNNNNNNNNNNNNNNNNNNNNNNNNNNNNNNNNNNNNNNNNNNNNNNNNNNNNNNNNNNNNNNNNNNNNNNNNNNNNNNNNNNNNNNNNNNNNNNNNNNNNNNNNNNNNNNNNNNNNNNNNNNNNNNNNNNNNNNNNNNNNNNNNNNNNNNNNNNNNNNNNNNNNNNNNNNNNNNNNNNNNNNNNNNNNNNNNNNNNNNNNNNNNNNNNNNNNNNNNNNNNNNNNNNNNNNNNNNCAAUUAUACAAGUUCCUUCCACAAUCCAGAAGUAUUCUUGUCACCCUUGCCCUUCCAAGGAGCGUUCACUAAAAUCAAUAUCUGAUUACAAUUGCUCAUGCACAAAAGCAAGAGACUUCAAACUACUCAAGCACAAAAGCAAGAGGUUUCAUAUGCUCAACCACACACGCAAGAGACUUCAUACGCUCAAGCACAAAAACAAGAGACUUCUAAUCAAACAGAAUUACACGGAAAUUUUUUUGAGUCUCUAGAAUUUCUAAGAUAUGAAAGUUGUUAAGAAAUUCUAAGUGAACUUGAUGUGAAAACCAUUUCUGCGGAGUUUUAGCACUUGUAAAAUUAUUGUGAGUCUCUUACAAUCUUCAAGUUCUCACUAAUAAUUUGUUGCUUAAUUUCCAGCACAUCAAAAGAGUCGUUGUUGAAGCUUGAUCAUCGCCAAUGAUCUGUUUCUUGAUUGGGUUAUUGUCCUAGGAGGGAACAAUUUCAAAUUCAUUCCUUGAAUAGAGAAUAACCAGAGUAGACACAGUUGUUAUCUUGUACUACUGCCGACAUGAGGAGUGGAGUAGUAGUUGCACAAUUGUACUAUGUCCUUUCCCUGCGCUCUUCAGUGGAUAAGCAUCCAAUGCCUUCUAAUUCCUUUAGACUCUGAUGAACUUAUGCUUUUAAGGCUCUUUAGACUCUCGAGUGCGUUUGGUUUGCAAAACAGCAAGUACUGGACAGAACAGUACAACAUAGAACAGUACAACACAAGGCAGAACAACACAGGACAAAUUUUUUAUGGCAUUGAGUAAUUUUUUGUUUUAUACGAUUUUUGAGGGACAAAAUGCUAUUUUGGUAUUUUAGACAAUUUGUACGUGGGACAAAAAGUUGUGCUGUGGUUUGAUGAGGGACAAAAAUAUGAGUUUUUAUCUUGUCCCUUGCCUCCAGUUUGUCCUGUACCUGAAACAGUUUUACAAAUCAAACACUGGACAGCUAGAGUUGUUCUGUCCUGUCCUUCAUUUUUUAGCAAAUCAAACGCACCCUAAGUCUUUAGAAUCUGUCUUGGAACAUAAGCUUCAUUUGUAGAUACGUUUGCUCUCUUUGUUCUAUGAGAACCAAUGCUUGGCUUAUAAUUUUUUUUCCAUGGUUCUGCACACUUGAACAAAUAUUAGCAUAUCCAAUUUACAUUUUAAUACCUUGUUAUCAUCAAAACUUAAUGUUGGGUAUUUGUAUUGGUUGCAUUAUUGCUAAAAUAAAUAUCCAUGUUUAUGUUGUUGGAUACAAUGUUCCAACAUCGUGACACGGUUCAGUGUGCCUGGUUUCAUGCCUACUUGUACGCGCACUUUAUCUUUUUAAGGAAACCACUUUUCCAUAUCUUGCUAACCAAGCAACUAGAGCUGUCAAAACGGGCUACCCGGCCCAUUUUGGGCCUGGCUGAGCGGGUUGCGGGCUUUUUAGGGCCGGGCUAAAAAGCCCUAUUUAAAUACGGGCUGGAAUAAUAGAGCCUGAGUCCGGUCCUAUACGGGCUCCCGGGCUAACGGGCCAGCCCUCGUGUUCCUUUUUUUUUAAAAAAAAAAUCCUUUAAUGAUCUCAACAUAACUUGUACAAGCUAACAAAAAAACAGAAUCAGUGAACAAAAUAAUAGCAUAUAGAAAUCAAAUAUUUAUAUAAUUAUAAUAACAAUAUGUUCGGGUGAGUAAAGAAACUAAACGAAGACAAGAGGUAUUACUGAAGAUUAGAGGUAUCAGUGUAAGCUUUGUGCAGGCUGUGUUCUAGUAGCCUACAGAGUGUGAAAAAUUAGUAGUAGCACCAAUAAUACCUAAUCAUGCUAAUAAAUGCAUUCUUUGGCUUUAAUUUGUUAAACAAAUAUAGACAAUUUAAACAAAUUUGUAUUAAGUUUAUAAGAAUUGUUAUAACAUAUAGACAAUUUACUAUCUGUUAUAUUGGAAAGCUUCUAAUGUUAUAACAAAUACACCCGUAUUAAAAGUAAUUGCAGGGAGAGAAAUUAAGAUGUGAAAAACUAAUCUCUUCACUAGAUAUUACUGCAGAUGCUUAAAAAACCCAUUAAGUCUUUCAAUUUCUACACUUGAUCGAAUACACGGAAUAGUUUCAACUCAUAAUGAAAAAUAUAGACAUUACUUAAAGUUGGUUGGAAGCUUAUUCCUUGGUCUGCACUUGAUCCUUCAUUCACUCUACACCAAAACUGAACCAACUUAUAUUUUUUUUGCGGGCUGCCCUUAGCCCGAGCGGGCCAGCCCAAAUGGGUUGCGGGCUUUUUCGGGCCGGGCUAAAAAACCCUGAAAAAAUUCGGGCUGGAAUUUUUUAGCCCAAGCCCUAAGUUUUAUUGAAUGGGACGGCCCGUUUUGACAGAUCUACAAGCAACACGCAUAUCUGUACAAAAUCAGUUGUGCUUUUAUUUCCAAAGGAGCAACAAUAUUUUAGGGAAUAAUUGGAUAUUUUUGGAAGUUCCGAAAGAUGUUCCUUUUUCUUAUGACUUUCCUUAUUUGUUCUGAUUCGUGUUUUGUAGUUCAUCUGAACGAUCUCCAAUUUGUUCUGAAGCCCAAUAAGGUUUGUUAUCCCAUAUUGCUUCAGUAUAAAAGGAAGACUUCAAGACCUAAUUGAUUAUGCAAGCCGUCAUUUCUAAAAGUCUGGUUUUAGGGUUUUGAGUAUUUGUGUGUCUACUCUUGUAUCAUGUUGGUGCAAGUUUAGUACUGUUUGUUUAUUGCGAGCCUUUCUUGUAUCUUCUUGAUACAAGUUAAGGAUUGUUUGUUGAGUUGUAACUCGUUGUGCUACACCAAAACUUUUAAGCAAGGUUGUAGUUGUUUGUUUGAAGGUAACUUCACAAUUUGUGUGUUUAAAUAUUAUAAUCACAGGGGUUGUGUCUGAUUGUAGGAUAGCGAGAUGAGAUCUCAGAUCUAGUAGUUCUUGAUACACUAGUUGCAGCCCCUAGAGUAGGUGUGUUUGUCACCGAACUGGGUCAACAAACUCACUGUGUCCUUUACUUUCUUGUCAUUUAUUUUCUUGAAUUUUAUUUGUUUGUUUGCGUGAUUUUGUAACAUUACACGGAACAUCUUCCUAUUGUGUGUUUGACGUUGAAACAUUGCAUAAAACAUCUGAAAACAAGUACGCUAGAAAUUUCAAUUGGCAUCAGAGUAUGCACCCUGCUUGUUUUAGGGUGAGCUCCUGGGAAGUUUCUUUCUAGCAAAAUGGACAAGGAAGGAGGAUUUGCUAACAGACCACCUAUGUUGGAUGGGUCUAACUAUGACUAUUGGAAAUCACGUAUGAGUGCUUUUCUCAAAUCUAUUGAUUGCGGAACUUGGAAAGCAGUUCUGAAAGGUUGGGAACAUCCUGUGACACUUGAAAAAGAUGGGAACAAGACAGCUGUCUUGAAACCAAAAGAAGAAUGGACCACUGCUGAGGAUGAACUAGCUCUUGGAAAUUCCAAAGCAUUGAAUGCAUUAUUCAAUGGGCUAGAUAAGAACAUGUUCAGAUUGACCAAGCAAUGUAAUAUAGCUAAAGAUGCUUGUGAAAUUCUCAAAACUGCACAUUAAGGUACUACUAAGGUAAAAAGUGCAAGACUUCAACUUCAUACUACAAAAUUAGAGAAUCUGAGAAUGAUGGAGGAUGAGAGCAUACAUGAUUAACACUUAAACAUUCUUUACAUUGCAAAAACUUUUGAUUCUCUUGGAGAGAAAAUGUCUGAUGAAAAUACUCAGAUCUCUACCUGAGAGAUUUGAUAUGAAGGUAACUGCUAUAGAAGAAGCUCAGAACAUUUCAUGUCUGAUGGUUGAUGAGUUGAUAUGAUCUCUUCAAAAUUUUGAAAUCAAUAUCAACAGCAAGACUGAUAAGAAUAACAAUCAAUCCAAGGAUGUUCAAUGUCAUAAAUGUGAAGGAUAUGGUCACAUUAGAACUGAGUGUACGACCUACCUUAAGAAACAAAAGAAAAGUUUGGCUGUCUCCUGGUCUGAUGAAGACAACUUAGAAGGAGAGGUUGAAAAUGAAUAUGCUAAGAAUGUCACUGCUUUAACUGGUGUAUACAUGUCUGAUGAUGAGUCAUGUGAUGAAGAAUUAUCUUAUGAAGAACUAGUAAUCUCUUACAAAGAUCCGUAUACCAAAAGUAUAAAUAUAUGCAAGGUGGUUGAAAAACAGAAGAAGAUCAUCAGUCAACUGCAAACUGAAAGGGACAAUCAUCUGGCAAAAAUAUCUGAGAUCAAUGAUGAGGUAACUCAAAUAAACUCUCAACUAGAACAUUUAAAGAAACAGGUUAAAAUGAUAACCACAUGAACAAAUGCUCUAGAAGAAAUUUUAGAAGUUCAAAUCAGAGGAAAACCAAAUGGUAUAGGAUUUUAUCAUAAAGCUCAAAACAAGAAACAUCAACACAAGAAUUUUGCCUAUGCCUUGAAGGACUAUGGAAAGGAUAAAAGGAACAAAAAGGUUCAAACUAUAAAAUUUGUUGUUGCUAGAGAAACAUAUGAUUCCACCAUUAGUAAAUCAAUGCUGCAACAUUCAGAAGAACAUCAGAUUACCAAAAGCAAAAAGAAAUCUCUCCCAUGGGUCAAUCAUGAUCUACCUGAACUUGACAAUGUGAUGUUGGUGAAAGGCCUAACCUCUAACCUGAUUAGUAUAAGUCAGUUGAAUAUAUCAGUUUGGAUUAUAUGGAAUGAACGCAGCAAUAGAUUAUUUAAAAAUAUAGAAAAUUGCAUACCUAAGUUAUUAGAUAAAGUAAAGUAUUAUUCUUUUUGGUGGCUUAAACCCAAUGGGGCUAAUUUUGUUUAUGGCUUUCAGCGGUGGCGGUCGAACGUGUUCAUGUGCUUGGGUAUUGGCUAAUCACUUAAUGUAACAUUGAUGACAACUUGUAAUUAUUAUGGGCCUCGUCGGUACAACUUGUACUAAGGGAACUUCCUUGUCAAUGUUAAUAUAUUUCAUUUCUUAUUGUAAAAAAAACCACUCAAAAAAUAAUACAAAAAUCAUGAGCUAAAAAUCCAAUAAAUAAUAUGAAAAUACAAAUCUUUUCAAAGUAUUAAGAAAUUCAGCAUAUGACACAUCCAACAGGAUCUUGUUCCACUCUUGAAACAGAAGAAUAUUGAAUAUAUUGUGGUUGUUGCAUGUAAUAAUAAUGAGGAUAGGCUUCAAGUAAUUGAAUUUGGUCCUUCUUCACAUCAGGCUUAGGUUCUUCUUUCUUCUUUUCAUCUUUUGCAGGUCCAACAGAAACUAUUUCAGCAUUACACCACUUCCUAAGUUUGCUUACUACAUGUACUGGAUCUGUGUCUCCAGUUAAGGUUAAUUUCUUGUCUUUCAUGUCCACAGAAACUGAUUCUACCCCUGCAAAUAAUAUACCAAUACAAUUUUAGCAAAAAAAUUAAAGGUAUUACAAUGUUAUAUCAUGAGUUUAAUUAUUUUAUAUUUCAAUUUUAAAAACACAAACUUUUAUUUUUUAUUUUUAAAUUGAAAAAAUGGAGAAUUAUUAUUAAUUAAAGUGAUGCUACAUGAUGUUCAAAUUAUGAGGUUAAAAAGGGAAAAACACAAAUUUUUCCCUCUAGAUUAAAUAAUGUGAAGGCAAAUAAUGCAUGAUUAAAAUAUAUUUACGUUAUAUGUACAUAUCAAAUAAAUUAUCUAUUUAAUAUUUAUUUUCUCAAUAUUGAAACUAGACAUGUACGUUGACAUUACCUGA